This 447-nucleotide ribosomal RNA is filed under the name uncultured bacterium. RNAcentral's name for it is "bacterial SSU rRNA". It matches the Rfam family "Bacterial small subunit ribosomal RNA", at positions 331 to 795 of the family's 1533-position model. The record is from RNAcentral.
CCAGACUCCUACGGGAGGCAGCAGUGGGGAAUAUUGCACAAUGGGGGAAACCCUGAUGCAGCAACGCCGCGUGAGUGAAGAAGUAUUUCGGUAUGUAAAGCUCUAUCAGCAGGGAAGAAAAUGACGGUACCUGAGUAAGAAGCCCCGGCUAACUACGUGCCAGCAGCCGCGGUAAUACGUAGGGGGCAAGCGUUAUCCGGAUUUACUGGGUGUAAAGGGAGCGUAGACGGCGAUGCAAGUCUGAAGUGAAAGCCCGGGGCUCAACCCCGGGACUGCUUUGGAAACUGUAUGGCUGGAGUGAUGGAGAGGCAAGCGGAAUUCCUAGUGUAGCGGUGAAAUGCGUAGAUAUUAGGAGGAACGCCAGUGGCGAAGGCGGCUUACUGGACUGUAACUGACGUUGAGGCUCGAAAGCGUGGGGAGCAAACAGGAUUAGAUACCCUGGUAAUA